Non-coding RNA from Castor canadensis (American beaver), 437 nucleotides. The record is from RefSeq and is a predicted model, not a curated record. NCBI's taxonomy places the organism in Eukaryota, Metazoa, Chordata, Mammalia, Rodentia, Castoridae.
UCCCCUAGAUAAGAGAGUGGGCCUAGUGCACCCAGGUUUUGAAAAACUGCCGUAAGAAUAUAAGACACGGGCUGGGGAUGUAUAUCAGUGGUAGAGUACUUGCCUCCCAUGCCUAAAGCUUUGGGCCCGAGCUCCAGCACUGAAAAAAAAUCCCAUAAGACCUACAAUCAAUUAGGUGGUUCCUCCUACCUCUGCUGCAUACUUGACUCCAUCCACGGUGUGCUCAGAGCCAUGAUCAUCUGAGGAGCCCCAGUGAAGAUGGAACUGGCGAAGUCGGUAGGGUCCAGAAAGAGGACCACCUCUCAGCACUGUGAGUCAGCCUUACUAGAACUGGAGGUGUGGCUCAAGUGAUAAGAGUGCCUGCUUUGCAAAGACAAAGACCUGCUUCAAACCUGAGUCCCAGGAAGAGAGGAAGAAAGGAAGAAAGAAACGAAGGA